UACGUAGGGUCCGAGCGUUGUCCGGAUUUAUUGGGCGUAAAGAGCUCGUAGGCGGCUUGUUGCGUCGACUGUGAAAACCCGCGGCUUAACUGCGGGCUUGCAGUUGAUACGGGCAGGCUAGAGUUCGGUAGGGGAGACUGGAAUUCCUGGUGUAGCGGUGAAAUGCGCAGAUAUCAGGAGGAACACCGGUGGCGAAGGCGGGUCUCUGGGCCGAUACUGACGCUGAGGAGCGAAAGCGUGGGGAGCGAACAGG
RNAcentral lists this ribosomal RNA (253 nucleotides) under uncultured bacterium. Its description in RNAcentral is "partial 16S ribosomal RNA". It matches the Rfam family "Bacterial small subunit ribosomal RNA", at positions 524 to 776 of the family's 1533-position model. The record is from RNAcentral.